UAGGUUCCCAUACUCUAGGUUCUAUGUCCAUGUCACUCAACCUAGAUACACUUGCUAGGUUUUUGUCAUCUUUGCCUAGAUGUCCACUUCUAGGUUUACUAGUUCGACCUAGGUUUACUAACACUAGGUUCGAUGCCACACACCUAGAUUGCUCGACUCUAGGUUCACUUGUUUAACCUAUGUUCUUUAAUACUAGGUUAGAUGCCACUCAAUCUACCUGACAACCUAGUUGCCCAAUCAACUCU
RNAcentral lists this long non-coding RNA (245 nucleotides) under Ananas comosus (pineapple). Its description in RNAcentral is "long non-coding RNA (ACOM_LNC036486)". Lineage: Eukaryota; Viridiplantae; Streptophyta; Magnoliopsida; Poales; Bromeliaceae. The record is from RNAcentral.